RNAcentral lists this long non-coding RNA (873 nucleotides) under Zostera marina. RNAcentral describes it as "long non-coding RNA (ZMAR_LNC001307)". Lineage: Eukaryota; Viridiplantae; Streptophyta; Magnoliopsida; Alismatales; Zosteraceae. The record is from RNAcentral.
CUCGUUAAAUAUGCCUUCAAGGCUUCAGACAUCACCACUAAACACCAACCUCCUCGCACCACCACCACCACUAAUAGUAGAAAAAGUAGCAAUUCUUGAGCAGAAGAUUAUAUUCCAAAUAUUCUAUUAAUUUAACUAAUUUCGAUAUUUAGAAUCAUGUUAUUUGAAGCAAAUCAUGAUUUUAAUUAUCCACCAUUACUCUUAGAUUUCUAAUGUUUAUAUAACUUGUAUGAUUUAUUACAGAAAAGUUUCUAGAAAUAACAAGCUCGAUCACAAGAACAAGAAGUCAAUUUAAUAUUCGAACCAGGUAGGGGGGAGGAUUUGAAAAAUUUAACAGAAGGUACCUUAUUACAAGUGUAAAAAUGUGUUAUCUCUUAAUGAUCUAUAUCAGAGUCAUAUACUAUAUCUUUCGUGCUCCGGCGAGUGAGGCCUAAGGAGAGACGUGCCAUUUCAUAUAACGGCUGUACGUUUAAAUAACGACAUGCCAGCAUGACUUCAUUAAGAUCCUCCUUACUCAAGCUGUAAAUGAAAUCAAUGUCCCAUUGCCUGAGAUCAUCAUAUCUCCAGCUAGUACCUUUCUUGCCUGUCAUGCAAUGCUUGCUACAAUAAGCCAUGAUUUUGGAUAAUAUGAAACUGGAAACUUUUGUAAAAGACAUGGAAUCAUACUCUUUGUCAAAGUUUUCAUCGAGCAAUCUUUUCAAAACUACUGGAGUUCCCAUAUCAUUAUCUGAAAAUGUGAAAAAUUUACCAUCCUUACACAACACAGUUACCAUUCUUAAAGAAGCAUAAGAAGAAGGAGAAGAAAAAGGGACAGAAGACGACAUAUCUGAUAAUCUGAAAGGUUAGGUUUUCUGAAUGAAAAUUGGAUGGUUC